This 429-nucleotide ribosomal RNA is filed under the name uncultured prokaryote. Its description in RNAcentral is "bacterial SSU rRNA". It matches the Rfam family "Bacterial small subunit ribosomal RNA", at positions 355 to 774 of the family's 1533-position model. The record is from RNAcentral.
UGAGGAAUAUUGCGCAAUGGGGGAAACCCUGACGCAGCGACGCCGCGUGAGUGAUGAAGGCCUUCGGGUUGUAAAGCUCUGUCAGAGGGAAAGAAAGGGGAUGCGGAAUAAUACCCGCAGCCAUUGACGGUACCCUCGGAGGAAGCACCGGCUAACUCCGUGCCAGCAGCCGCGGUAAUACGGAGGGUGCAAGUGUUAUUCGGAAUCACUGGGCGUAAAGAGCACGUAGGCGGAUGGGUAAGGCAGAUGUGAAAUCCCGGGGCUCAACUUCGGAACUGCAUUUGAUACUGCCCGUCGUGAGUGUGGUAGAGGGGGAUGGAAUUCCCGGUGUAGAGGUGAAAUUCGUAGAUAUCGGGAGGAACACCAGAGGCGAAGGCGAUCUACUGGAACAUUAUUGACGCUGAGACGCGAAAGCGUGGGGAGCAAACA